Triticum aestivum (bread wheat) is the source of this 131-nucleotide non-coding RNA. NCBI's taxonomy places the organism in Eukaryota, Viridiplantae, Streptophyta, Magnoliopsida, Poales, Poaceae. The record is from Rfam.
GAUAUACUCCCCCCUUCCCGAAAUACUUUUGUCAAAAUGAAUAAACAGGGAUGCAUCUAGACGUAUUUUAGUUUUAGAUACAUUUUUAAUCCAUUUUUAUGACAAGUAUUUUCGGACGGAGGGAGUAUAUU